RNAcentral lists this long non-coding RNA (367 nucleotides) under Mustela putorius furo (domestic ferret). RNAcentral describes it as "lncRNA (ENSMPUG00000030571.1)". Lineage: Eukaryota; Metazoa; Chordata; Mammalia; Carnivora; Mustelidae. The record is from RNAcentral.
GCUAUGGUCACCAGAUGAUUGGAGCUUUCCAGAAAAUCCUGAGCUACGUUCUGGUGGAGUUGAAAAAAAGGACAAACGGCGCUUCUGCCUCUAGAGUGAUCUCAUGGUAUCUCUGGCCCAGACCUUGCCUGAGCUCCUGGUUCUUCUAACUACCUCCUGGACAACUCCCCUUGAUGACUGAUAGGUAUCUCAAAACUCGCCUUGGCUUUGGGAAGGUGAUGAAGUUCUGGAGACACAUGGUGGUGGUGGUUACACAACAAUGUGAAUGUACUUAAUGCCACUGAACUGUAUACUUAAAAAUGGUUAAAAUGGUAAAUUUAACAUAUAUUUUACUACAAUAAAGAAAUUUAUAAUUUUAUGAGACAAU